RNAcentral lists this ribosomal RNA (416 nucleotides) under Wolbachia endosymbiont of Myzus persicae. Its description in RNAcentral is "bacterial SSU rRNA". It matches the Rfam family "Bacterial small subunit ribosomal RNA", at positions 1013 to 1428 of the family's 1533-position model. The record is from RNAcentral. Lineage: Bacteria; Pseudomonadati; Pseudomonadota; Alphaproteobacteria; Rickettsiales; Anaplasmataceae.
GGUCGGCUCGGCCGGAUUUUACACAAGUGUUGCAUGGCUGUCGUCAGCUCGUGUCGUGAGAUGUUGGGUUAGGUCCCGCAACGAGCGCAACCCUCAUCCUUAGUCACCAUCAGGUUAUGCUGGGGACUUUAAGGAAACUGCCAGUGAUAAACUGGAGGAAGGUGGGGAUGAUGUCAAGUCAUCAUGGCCCUUAUGGAGUGGGCUACACACGUGCUACAAUGGUGAUUACAAUGGGCUGCAAGGUCGCAAGGCUGAGCUAAUCCUAAAAAAUCAUCUCAGUUCGGAUUGUUCUCUGCAACUCGAGAGCAUGAAGUUGGAAUCGCUAGUAAUCGUGGAUCAGCAUGCCACGGUGAAUACGUUCUCGGGUCUUGUACACACUGCCCGUCACGCCAUGGUAAUUGGUUUCACUCGAAGCU